GAGACUGACAUUCAAUCACUAGGUGGCGUAUCGCGAUAGAAUGCUUCUCUCUCAUUGGUUAGAUUUUUAGUAGAAGAAAGAGGGACAAAAUGGCGAAGAAAACACCAAGAACUUGCUCAAGAAAAACAACAGAGAUGAGAAGAUCUUUUGACUCUACACAGAAGAAAGGCACCCCAAACGACAGAUUAGAUACAGAUAUCCAUGGAACAAAUCAUCUGAAAACUAAGAGAGGAUGAAGAAUACUUCUAUUAAAAAGUUGAAGUAACUGAUGAGCAGAUCAAUCCAACUUGAACAUGAUAUCAUUUCUCCAAGGAUGAAAACAAGUCUCUCUGUACUCAAGCAUUGAUAUUUUUAAAGUCAACUGAAACUGGAACAGGUCAUACAUGCAGACUACAGUGAUGUGUUGCACAGUUCUGAAAACAAGCAGCCACCACUAGCAUAAGCAUGAUAAGUG
This is a long non-coding RNA of Saccostrea cuccullata (small rock oyster), 454 nucleotides long. RefSeq lists it as uncharacterized. The transcript is spliced from 3 exons. The record is from RefSeq and is a predicted model, not a curated record. NCBI's taxonomy places the organism in Eukaryota, Metazoa, Mollusca, Bivalvia, Ostreida, Ostreidae.